ACGAAGCUGAGAGACGGCCGUUUAUCCACCGGCGGUAGUAAUACACAGUACACUCUGUAUACCAUCAAUAACAAAUUUUCGAAUCAUGCUUGUUAAUCAUCCACCCAUCAAUCUCUUCUUAUUACAGAUCCGGAACAACAAAGUCGAUCAGACAAAAAGAAUAAUGAGAAACCAAUCCUGUUACAGAUCCAACACUCAAACUCUCUCUGUUUCCACUCUAUCUGCUGCUACAAACACCUGCAGAUUACAACUCCAAGAAGAAGACGGACGCCAUAUGUACAUACGCAGGAAACAUUCAAAAAGACUGAAAAUUAAGAUUGAAAAAUCAGUGGGGAUGAGAGGAGGAGAAAGGGAGGCGGCGGAGGAUGAGAAAGCGGACCCGGCGAGGGAAAGGGGCGUCGUUCACCAAGUGCUCCAGCACCCUCGCUACCAGGGCCGUGUACUCUUCUAGAAGCUCGGCUAGAACAGCUACAAGUAUCAUCUCCCCCGACAAUCAAAAGCAGCAAGCUUUAUCGACUAACCCUCUGAAAAUUGACAAGAACAGAGAUCUGUGGAGGAGUCGAUAUUAAUAAAUCGCUCUGCCCACAGCUAUCUGCUAUCCGGCUUCCACCUGUGGUUUUAAUUUUUGGUAGUUUCGAGAGAGACUGUAUCCGUUACCAAGAAGGAAACAAGGCGUAAUCCCAUUCGAGAAACGUAUAAAGAACUUAUUAUUGGAUUAUU
This 720-nucleotide long non-coding RNA is filed under the name Linum usitatissimum (flax). Its description in RNAcentral is "long non-coding RNA (LUSI_LNC006761)". Lineage: Eukaryota; Viridiplantae; Streptophyta; Magnoliopsida; Malpighiales; Linaceae. The record is from RNAcentral.